AUUGAACGCUGGCGGCAGGCCUAACACAUGCAAGUCGAGCGGACGAAGGGAGCUUGCUCCUGGCUUCAGCGGCGGACGGGUGAGUAAUGCCCAGGAAUCUGCCUGGCAGAGGGGGAUAACGUCCGGAAACGGGCGCUAAUAUCGCAUACGUCCUGAGGUUGAACGGGGGGGUUCAUUGGACCUCACGCUAUCAGAUGAGCCUAGGUCGGAUUAGCUAGUUGGUAGGGUAAAGGCCUACCAAGGCGACGAUCCGUAACUGCUCUGAGAGGGUGAUCAGUCACACUGGAACUGAGACACGGUCCAGACUCCUACGGGAGGCAGCAGUAGGGAAUCUUGGGCAAUGGGCGAAAGCCUGACCCAGCCAUGCCGCGUGUGUGAUGAAGGUCUUCGGAUCGUAAAACACUGUAAGUAGGGAGGAAGAGCUGUGAAUUUAACCCUGGCUGUUUUGACGUUACCUACUGAGAAAGCACCGGCUAACUACGUG
RNAcentral lists this ribosomal RNA (484 nucleotides) under uncultured bacterium. Its description in RNAcentral is "partial 16S ribosomal RNA". It matches the Rfam family "Bacterial small subunit ribosomal RNA", at positions 30 to 507 of the family's 1533-position model. The record is from RNAcentral.